RNAcentral lists this ribosomal RNA (253 nucleotides) under uncultured bacterium. Its description in RNAcentral is "partial 16S ribosomal RNA". It matches the Rfam family "Bacterial small subunit ribosomal RNA", at positions 524 to 776 of the family's 1533-position model. The record is from RNAcentral.
UACGUAGGGGGCAGGCGUUAAUCGGAAUUACUGGGCGUAAAGCGUGCGCAGGCGGUUUGCUAAGACAGGUGUGAAAUCCCCGGGCUUAACCUGGGAACUGCGCUUGUAACUGGCAAGCUAGAGUGUGGCAGAGGGGGGUGGAAUUCCACGUGUAGCAGUGAAAUGCGUAGAGAUGUGGAGGAACACCGAUGGCGAAGGCAGCCCCCUGGGCUAACACUGACGCUCAUGCACGAAAGCGUGGGGAGCAAACAGG